This is an RNA transcript of Malania oleifera, 15432 nucleotides long. RefSeq lists it as uncharacterized. Lineage: Eukaryota; Viridiplantae; Streptophyta; Magnoliopsida; Santalales; Ximeniaceae. The transcript has 6 exons. The record is from RefSeq and is a predicted model, not a curated record.
GCACACUCCUAGGGUUUGAAAGAUUGUUUUUAAGCCGAUGAAAGGGACAUUCACGCGCGCACACAGAAUUCACGGCCGCUGGGAGGAAAGCCUCCGCGCACAAACUCUCUCUCUCUUGGCCGCAGCAGCCCACUUCUCUUCCCUCUCACUCUCUCCAUUCUCUCACUCCCUCCAUUAUCUCUUUCAGCCUCUCACGCUCCCUCUCAUGAAGCAGACAGCAGCAGCCCUCGCCAUCACCGUCUUCCCUCAACUUCACGGCUACCCUCCUCAAGCACAGAUUGGCCUUCUCCUCUUCCUCCUUCGCAAAGCUUCUUCCUCUGUUCUUCGUCUAUCUUCUUCUUCAUGCAAGAUCAGCUUCGCUUAUUAUUUCUUGUGAUUAAUGGACUCGGCUCCCUAUAAGCUCUCAAUCAGAAACCACUGACGGCGCAAUUAAAUAUUGAUUCAAGGUCCUAUAGUUCAAACUUGGGAACUAUUGGUUCUUUUGACAUAAGAUUGGUUCCCAAUGGAUCAUUUUGCAAUAGUGCUCCUAGAUUCAUCAAGCUUGAGAGGGAGUCAAGAACACGCUCAAUGCCUGUACUAGACAAGUCUAAAACUGUCAAACUUUGCAUACUUGCAAAAAAGACAUUGGACAUUUCUGUUAAUCUUUUAUUAUCAUUUAGCAGCAAAGUAGAGAGCAUAGGGCACUCUGGCGAUAUGGAAACUACCACCCCUCUACGUAACCAAUUAUACAUUAAUGAAGCCCUCUCUAGAUUCCUUGGCCAAUUUUCGUCAUUUGGGAGCUCUUCCAGUUGGGCACCAGCUUUGACCAUGAACUUAUCCAAUCUUGCAAUAUCAAGGGCCUUGUCUCUUAUCACAUCAUGCAUCUUUACACAAUUGCGAUGGUUACUUACAGAACUUUGUAGUAAGCAUGCAUUUAUAAGUUUAUUCAAUAUAGAGUAGCCCCGAUCAAAUCCUCUUGUCUAGUAUCCAUUUUAUUUAUUAGCCCCUCGCAGAUCCAAUACCGUAUCAAUUCUAUUCUUGGAAUGCCAUAAUCUUCUGGAAACAAGGCACAAUACAAGAGACAUUGCUGCAUCUUUUCAUUCUUCAAUCGAUCAUAACUAAAUUUUAAGCGCUUAGAGAUAACUAGAGCAUGUUGUUUCAAUUUGUGUAAAGCAUAAUUCCACUUAUAAAUGUCUCACACUUCUGUCAAAGGAAAAACACAAGAAGUGGCUUAAAUAGAGCAAGAUUCCAAAAAAAGGAGAUAUUUCUCUCCAUCAAAGUUCUUAAAGAAUAUUGAGAAGAAGACUAAAGAAGUAAACGAAAUUUUUAAGCAAGGCGAAUUUCCUAAUGGGGUUGUUAUUGACACAUGUUUAGAUAAAGGACUUCCAUUUUCUGCCACACUAUUAAUAGGUGAAGCUACAACCAAGAAAAACCUUGAAAAGAUUUGGGAAAUAUUGAUGAAAGAUGACAUUAGAAGGGUGGGAGUUUAUGGAAUGGGAGGAGUGGGCAAAACAACCAUUGUAACGCACAUCCACAACCGACUCUUGGAAAAUUUGAGUCCCUUUGGUUCUGUUUUUUGGGUCAUUGUAUCUCAAGAAUCAAGUGUUCGCAUCUUGCAAAAUAAGAUUGCAUUAAAAUUGGGUGUGAAGUUGAAGGGGAAGAAGAUGAAAUGAUAAGGGCUGCUAUGUUGUCAAAAGCAUUGAAUGCUAGAGAGAAAUUUGUCAUUAUUUUAGAUGAUAUUUGGGAUUGUUAUUCUAUAGAGGGUCUGGGAAUUCCUAUUAAUGAAUAUAGCAAGGAGAAGUUGAUCAUAACUUCUCGGUUCUCCGUAGUGUGUCCACAUAGAGUUGACCCACUUUCAACUAAAGAAGCUUGGAGUCUAUUCAAGGAAAAAUUGGGGCCUCACACUGUUCUUGUUGUUCCUAAAGUGGAAAGAAUUGCCAAAUCUGUUGCCAAAGAAUGUGCCAGUUUGCCCCUUGCAAUCAUCACAGUGGCUGGAAGCUUGACAGGAGUGUGUGACAUUUAUGAGUGGAGUUAUGUUUUACACAAAUUGAAACAACAUGCUCCAGUUAUCUCUAAGUGCUUAAAAUUUAGUUAUGAUCGAUUGAAGAAUGAAAAGAUGCAGCAGUGUCUCUUGUAUUGUGCCUUGUUUCCAAAAGAUCAUGACAUUCCAAUAAUAAAAUUGAUACGGUAUUGGAUCUGCGAGGGGCUAAUAAAUAAAAUGGAUACUAGACAUGAGGAGUUUGAUCAGGGCCACUCUAUAUUGAAUAAACUUAUAAAUGCAUGCUUACUACAAAGUUCUGUAAGUAACCAUCGCAAUAGUGUAAAGAUGCAUGAUGUGAUAAGAGACAGGGCCCUUGAUAUUGCAGGAUUGGAUAAGUUCAUGGUCAAAGCUUGUGCCCAAUUGGAAGAGUUCCCAAAUGACGAAAAUUGGCCAAGGAAUCUAGAGAGGGCUUCAUUAAUGUAUAAUUGGUUACGUAGAGGGGUGGCAGUUUCCAUAUCGCCAGAGUGCCCUAUGCUCUCUACUUUGCUGCUAAAUGAUAAUAAAAGAUUAACAGAAAUGUCCAAUGUCUAUUUUGCAGGUAUGCAAAGUUUGAUAGUUUUAGACUUGUCUAGUACAGGCAUUGAGCGUGUUCUUGACUCCCUCUCAAGCUUGAUGAAUCUAAGAGUACUAUUGCUUAAAAAUUGCCGAAAUUUAAAUUAUGUUCCUUCUUUGGCACAACUCAAAAAAUUAAGGGAACUUGAUCUUCAGGGAAGUGAAAAUUGUGGAGCUCUGAUGGGCAUUGAAGAAUUAGGUGACCUCAAAUUCCUGGACUUGUGUGGUAUGUCCAUUGAAUGGAUGUUUCCUCAAACUCAAAGUGGGGUGGGGUGGGGUGGGGGGGUCCUCUCCAGGCUAAGGCAGUUGCAGUGCAUUGGAGUUGGAGGUGAACAUGUGCAGUUGGAUCAACUCUCUGUCUUGAAAAAGUUAGAAAGUAUCAAACUAUGGGGCCUUGACCCUCUCAAGUUUAACAAUUGCAUCAAAUCUGAGGCUUGGAAGAAGUUGAAGCACUACUUCCUUUGUUCAUCAGCGAAUGUUCUUCAGCUACCAGAAAUAUUGUUUGGCAGACAUGUAUAUAUAGAUUAUGAUGCUGUUCGUAACAGUCCCCGAAAAGAGGGGAAUUAUCCCUCAUGCUCCCUUCAAAUGUCCAGGAGUUGAUUUUAAGGGGAUGCAGUGAUUUCGGCAGCUUGUCUGAUUUUUUGUCUUCUUUGAAGAACGCUGAGGAUUUAGAGGGAUGCAAAAUUGAAUCCUGCCAAGGAUGCAUUACUUAUGGGCAGAGAAUUGUUGCACUACCGCCACCGAUUCUAAUAUUGUUCCUCUAUUUUUACCGCGGCUGGAGACCUUGGAGCUUUGUGAUUUGCAAAACCUCAAAGCCCUCUUAAAGCUUCAGGAAGGAGCAGUUGGAAGGGGAGGACUAGUACAACCACCUACACCAGUAUCAAGUGGAAGCUUUUCCAAUCUUAAGCAAUUGUCCAUUUUGGAAUAUCCUAACGUAAAGUACAUAUUUCCUCUUGGGUUUGCAUCGAACCACCUCCAAAACCUUAAGAUUUUGUUUGUGGAGGAUUGCCACAACAUUGAGAAUAUCAUUGCUGGGGUGGAUGAAGUCGAAGAAGAAGAAGGGUUAGAUCAGGAAAGGAGCAAGAAUUCCAUGUUCAUGUUCCCAAAAUUAGAAGAAUUGUGGUUGGGAUAUCUGCCCAAGUUGCAGGGCUUAAUAUGUGGCAGUAGGGGGAGCAUGGUCUGUGAUUCUUUGCAGGAAAUAAGUAUAUUUGGAUGCCCAAAUCUGAAGAGUCUCCCUAUUUCUAUUUCUGUGCAUAAUAAUGAUAUUGGCAUGGUGUCAUGUGUUCGUCCUCCUCCUCUUCCAGCUGUUACAAGAAUAAUUCACUUAGAAAGAAGCCAAUUUGAUGCUAUGGAGUGGGCCCACAAACCCCUUUUCAAAUGGGAACCAAGAAGACUCACAUUUGGAGAGCUUCAAUAUCAAUUUCAUGGAUGGUUUGAAGCAGAACGCUAUGAGAUUUGGAAACGCGACUUGGAACACUACAAAGAAGCGUUAUUUUGAAUGGCAAGCAAGGGAAUAAAAUUAUGACUGUUGAUAAUUUGCAAGAAAACAUCUUCUGCUGGUUGAGAAUAAACAAUAAAAUUAUGACUGUCGAUAAUUUGCAAAAAAAAAUAAAAUUGGAGAAUGGGGUUUUCAGCAGGAAAAUCUGGGCCUCGGUUGGCCAAAGUCUGCAUACUGGUCAUGCCACACAGGCUGAUUUCUUUGUACCAAAUCUGGAGGUGCACUAAGCUUAAGGGGUUCCGUAGUUGCUUAAGAGCUGCCAUUAUGGGAUCUAUAUGCUGGAAAAUUUGGGAAAAAAGAAAUACUCUGCUUCUGUCGCAUGUAUAUUUGGUAUGGCUCCAGAAAUUUAAAUUUGAAUAUUUUAUUUGGCUUAGUUUUAAUUUAAUUUAAUUUAAUUUUUUAAAAUUUAAGUCUUAUAUUAGUGUUGCCAUAGUGAAAAAUUAUAAAUUUGUUAAUAUAGCAUAUGUUCUAGAUGUUAUAACAAAUCAAACUAUCUUUUGUGCAUGAUAACCAAUAAUUAUAGAUUUAUCCAAAAUCUAUUUUUAAGUGGCCUUAUAGAGAUUGAUCAAAUCAUAAGUUAUUCAAAGUUAGAGAGAGCAUAGAAGUUUGUCUCUUAUAGUUAGCCACAUCAAUUGACGUGAUCAAUUUCACAGUUUUCCCUAGUUCUAUCUCUUAUAGUUGGUGUCAUCAAAUAGUUUCAAUUUUGUAUUGUCCAGUGCUAUUAUGCCACUUAAAUUCAUCGUGUUUAAAAAUAGACAUAAGAAAUUAUUUAGUUUUAGAUUAAUCUUAAAAAAUACUUUGGAUAUUGAGCACUGUGAUAGAAUGUAAGUAUAAGAAUAAAAAAAUAAAAAAUAAAAAUGAAAACAGCUACAGUCAAAACCUUAAUACAAUUUUUAACAUGAUAGAAUACAAAUUUUGCACAAAUUAUGUGCACUAACUGUGUAUAGCAUGCAAAAAUAAUGUUAGUUAAGUAUAACUACUCAUGAAAUAAGUGAUGAGAUCCUGUAUUGAAUGCCAACUGCAUGACUGAUGCAGUAUAUCGUGAAUUGCAUGCUGGUAGUGGGUAUAGGUUCUCACAUGCUUGAACUGAAUAGUAUCUGCAUGUGCAGAUUAUUAUGAAUUGCUUGCUUGAAUCUAUCAGGUUUAUUUGCAUGGUUUUUAUGAGAAAAUGUUCAAUUUACAAGCGGCAUGCUGUCGAAAUUUCGUUAGAAUUUUUUCAAAAUAAAACCACGUGAUAAGAUGAUUAUGAUGAAAUUAAUCUUAUAAUAUUUUUAAAAGGAGGAGUGAAAACUAAAUGAAUAUUAAACUUCAUCCGUUCAUAAUCAUUGAAUAUUUAAGAGAGCUGAGCUCCAUCCCUAGAGAAGUAGCACAAAGGACUUAUAUGCAUUAUGCUUCGCUUUUUAAAUAUUGAGACUUUUCAAAAAACCCUGGAACAUCAUAUACAACUCUUAAAAGCUCUAUGUUUAUAUGUGGACUGUCCUCAGGUAUAUAAGCACUAUUGAAUGCCUUAAUAUAUAUAUUUGGAUGCAUUUGUAGUCUAUAGGUAGACUAUCUUGUUCAAUUGAUAUUUAUCUAGUAUAGUUGUUGUAAAAGGUUCAGAAUGAUUGCUUAUAUUGAUUGACAUGCGUAAUAAAAUUAAUUUUUGACAAGUAUAAGCACUUCAUCACAUCUAAGCUUGUAUUCAAAUUGAAAGGGGAGCUCUUGAAAUUAAAUUUCCAUGUUUUUCUGCUCACCAGCAUUUUUGGCUUAGAUUAGUUCUGAAUGCACUAUGGCAUGUGCUAAAAUGUAUUGAUUUUACUGGAAAUCUUAAGUUGGAAUAUGUUUAGCCACAAUCAUUUAUGUAGCCAUAUGAUCUUGAUUUAAAUUGUCAUAUCCUUGAGAUCUAUAUGGUUGUAUUUUUUCUAGUCACAUUUUGUUAUGUGCUUAGAUGAUUACCAGAAGAAUUGGGUUUGCAUGAUCUUUAAAGUUUCUUUUUUAGUAAGCAUCUUCCCCCUGUAUUUAUCAAAAAUCAUAAGGGGAUAUAUAUUUUUAUACAUACAUAUAUAUAUAUAUACACAUAUUUUUUUAAAAGCAAGAAAUGAACUUAUAUGAAAUAUAUUUUAUCUCUUGCUUAUGUGCUUAAAUGCUUUCAUGACUUGUGCUAUUUUUGUUUUAAAAUUUUAUGUCAUGAAAUUUAAAUUUUUUUAAAGGUGUUGCAUAAUUGGUUCAUUGACUUAAAAUGACCAGUUAUACUGUCUUGUGUGCAUAAAUGCCAAAUAGAGGGAGAGUGUUUCAAAAAGGGGGAGAGUUCUCUAAGUAAAUUGAAAAAUAUUUCAAAAAGGGGGAGUUUCUUUUUUAAGCUAAGAAAUUUUUUAAGGAUCAAUUUUUUAUACUUAGCUUAGCCCUUUUUGUUGAUGCCAAAAUUGGGAGAGACUUAUAAGAAAAAUGAUAAAUUUCUUAUAUGAGAGACAAAUAUAGGGGCACAUCAUUUAGGGUCAAAAUCUGAGCUUUAAUGUGUUUUAAUGCGACAAACUAAAUGCAUGAUUAUUUGUAAUGUCUUCUCUCUUGAUAUGCCUGUGCUAUAUUGUCUAUUCUUUAAAUUAUGCAUAUUGUUAGGGGGAGCCUUUUCAAGCUUAAUCCAUUUUGCUCGUGUGUGUUUGUCAUCAUAAAAAAGAGGGAGAUUGUUGACUUUUUGAGUUCGAUCCCUAUUUUGAUGCUGACAAAGCAUGUAUCUUAUGUGUGUACUUAGCUUGUGAACAUGUAUAUAAUUCAGAAUACACAUAAGGGAAAGGAAAAAUGGAAGCUCGAAGGACUUAAAGAACAUAUCAUCCGACGUGUUCCAUGAUGACAGAACAGUAAAGAAGAAAGAAAACAUGUUAUUUAUUUUGUAAUUGCAUUUAGUUUUUAUAUAUGGUCUGUAAUAAUGCAUGUUCUACAUGAUGUGAUUAAAAUGCUCGGGACAAACCAUAGAUUGACUGUAGGGAAGGCCACACCAUUAAUGAAAAGCCUUUUCCUAAAACAACAAAAAUCAUACAAAAAAUGUUUAAAUCAUUUAGGGUAAAAAAUACGGCUAAACCUUAAGUUUCCACUAAAUCCAGUUGAUCAACCUAUUCAGUGUUAAAUACCUUAGUCGACCGACUACCUCCGUCAACCGACCAUUUUAUAACAUAGAAGCCCCACCCGAUUGGCCUCACUUUUAGGCCCAUGUUAUCAUGCCCCGGUCAAUAGACCUUUUAGUUCAAAAAGGGCCCCAGUUGACCGGCCGCCUGGGCUAGCAGAUCGGCCUUAGGCCUCAGUUGACCGAACCUACAAAGGGUGGAAAAUCGCCUAAGGACAGCCGAUCGGUCCUGCCCUCGGCCGACCGAACCCAUUGAGAAAUUCAAAUUUGGUGUGAGGUCAACCGAUCGACGCUAGUGUCAGUCGACUGAACCUCUCGGGUUUCGGAAAUUUUCGGCGCUUAAACGUGUUUAAUUUUGUAAUUAAACAUUUCUAAAAUACCAAACGUGUCCCUUAACGGUCAAAAUUUUUAGAACUAUAUAUAUACCCCCUCUCAUAAGCUUGUUUAACAACUUUGAUUAGUCAAAAUUUUUUCUUAAAUUUAUUUGGGCUUUUUUGAUCAAAGUUCCUCCAAACUCAUUUUUUUCUUAAAUUUUUUCAUUUUGUUGGGGCAAAAUUUUUUACACUCUCUUCCACUCAUUGUUUAGAAAAAUCUUUAUAGAAAGAGAGUAUUUAUUUUGGGCAUUUAUUUUUGUAUCCAUGGUAUUUACUCUAAAAUUUUUUUGAGAGUAAGCUUUUAGUGUUUCCCAUAUUAUUUCUUUGAUAAAAAUUUAUUGGGAAAACUCUUCGUAACCUUUGAAUCUUUGCACAUAUAUUGCAAGAUUCAAAUGCUCAUAUAGUAUUUAUUGCAAAAACAUUUUUGAGCAUAAAUCCUAAAUUCUCCAAACAUUUUCAUUGUAAAUCUUUGUUGGAGAAAAUACUUAUUACAUUUAGAUCUUUGAAGCUCUUAUUGCAUAUUUCACUUGACAUCAAAGAUCAAACAUAUUGGUUUUGUGCAAAAAUCAUCUUAAGAGCAAAACCUAGGUUCUCAUGUUAUUCUUUGGAAAAUAUUUUUCUGGAGAAAUAAUUUGUAGGGUUUAAAUCUUUGAAGCUUUUUAUCAUAUAUAUAUAUAUAUAUCAUAUUUAAAGAUUGCAAGCCCUCACUCUACUGGGCAUAAAUCCUAUCAUACUAGAGUGCAUAUUUGAGCUUUAAAGUUGUACAUAUCUGCUUAUUUAAGAAGAAAAUUCUUUGUACGAAAAAUAUUAUUUUAUUUGUACUAGUUUGACUCAGCCUGUAAAUUGAGCUAAGGAGACUCUGCCCCUUAAAGGAGCCUCGGAUUGGCUCAGAUUUGGUUAAGAAAGUUAGGAUUUGCACCAUCUUGGAAAGUGUGCAUAGUUUGUCUUAGCCUGGUAAUUGAGCUAAGGUAUUUCUGCCUUGUAAGGAGAAUUGGUUGUGGCUCAGCCUCUAAUUGAGCUGGGGAGUCUCCGCCCCAUGAGGAGAGUGUAAGUGGUGUCGCUCCGUCCAGUCAAAGUGAGCACUUAGUGAAUCCUUGGGCUACUGGCUCAAGGUGGGGACAUAGGCAGGAUUGGUCGAAACCCGAUAACAAAUUUCGUGUUGCGCUUUCUCUUCCUUACAUUGUUUAAUUUCCGCACAUUAAAUUUCUAUACAUAUAUGUCUGAAUAUUUAUUGUCUUGAUUAUUUUACACACAUGCUUUUAAUAUUGUUGGAUUUUGGGAUUGAAUAGAAAGACCCUAGGUUGUGUAUUACUACUGGCUGUGGUUUAAAUUGAACACACCCAACCUAAGAAGAUUUUUUAAUACCCAAUUCACUUCCCAUUUUGGGAAUACACCAUUCACAUCAAUUGGUAUCAGAGCCUCGUUGUGAAAAGCUUAACCGCUUGUGUUAAAGAUCGCAAUGGCUCUUGCUGGAGUACCCCUAUUCGGUGAGGGACAGUCAUUUACCAGUCCUCCAUUAUUUUGUGAUGUUAAUUACACCACCUGGAAAAUAAGAAUGAGCAUAUUUAUAAAAUCAAUGGACUGGAGGGCGUGGCAGAUGACUGUUAAUGGAAUUUGUAUGCAAAUGAAUAAAAAUGAUACUAGUUUAGUGCAUGUGAAUUCAAAUGCCAUGGAUAUGCUAUAUCGUGCUUUAGAGUUUAAUAUUUUUCAUGAGAUUAUGACAUGUACUUAUGCGAAAGAUGUUUGGGAAGAGCUGGAUAGGAGGUAUGGAAAGACUCAGGAGAAAGAGACCGCCACUCCGGAAGCUCCAAGUUCAAAUGAUCAGGUAGUGACAAAUCAUGGGCUAUUAGCAUUAACAGACAAAGAGGUAUAUGGUUCUUACUCUACCUCUAUUGAUGAUUUUUGUGUUGUGUACUAUCAUACAUCAUGUGUUGAAUUAUCUGUUGAAUUUAGUGAUAAUAAUGCUAAUGAUGCACGCAUCGAUUCAUAUGACUAUUAUAGUGAUAAAUCUUGUAUUGAAUCAUGCAAUAAGUUUAAUGAUAAAGGCAUGUCCUCUAACAAAGAACUAGAAUGUACUUUAUUAAAAAUGCAUAAAUUUUUAGUUAGGGCGUCUAAGCAUAAAACAAUUUUGAAAAAUGAGAACAAAAGCAUAGCAAAACAAUUAGAAGAAUUAAAAGUUUAUCAUGCUAUCCUAGAGAAGAAAAAGAUUAAGAAGAUUUUGAAAAUUAUUUGCUUGGAAAGAGAUAUGAAAGAUCAUUUUAGAAUGACACUCAAAGCUAAAAUUGAAAAGAAUAAUCAUGAUAAAUCCUUAGGAGUUAAAGGUAGUAAAUCUUUCAAAAAGGAUUCAUCUUAUAAAACUCAUAGUCAUUUUUACGUCUCGCCAAGCAAAAAUAGAAGAUAUAAGUAAAAUCCUUCUCUUGUACACAAAGUUGGCUUAUAUCAUAAAAGAAAAAGGCACUUUCAAUUUACUUGCCCAUCCAGAAGUGCCAGAGGCUUAGAUAAGAAAAUGGAAUGGAUUGUUUGGAAAGCAAACCCCUUAAGACCAAAGGAAGAACGAGCUCCAAUAGAAAUCACAUAAUAACUUAAUCCCCCCCGUAGUUCUUUGUUUUAGGGGGAGUGAUGACUAAAAGGCUUAGGUAAUGGUAUGUGCUUAAAUUUUUAAAUCUUAGUAUAUGCAUUCGCCAUACACUACUGGCAUACUAAGAAUCUUAGAUAAUCAUGCCAAUACGAAAAUCUCAAGUAAAAUAUCCAAUCUGAAUUUAAUGUAUAUACAUCAUAUUGAUUGAUUAAAAUAUGAAAUUAUUGGUUACUUGAGUAAAAUCCACUUCCAAAUGGACAAAGGUAGUUUUCUCUGGUAAAUGAUUCUCUAUGCUUAACCCAUGCUUAAGUAUGAAUAUUCCAAAUGGGCUUCAAGAAUCCUUCUUAUUCUAUAUAUCUUUUAAUCCUAAUCUCAUUGAUCAAAAUUUAGUCAUCACCCUAGUCAUAAGCACCGAUCUUCAAAAAAAUAAAAAUAAAAAAUCCAUGUUUAUUAAGUGCUUAUUAAAAGACAUCCCAUCAUAAUCAAAAUAGAGACAUUCAUAAGGGAUUUAAGCUUUAUUGUUCAAAUUAAAAUGUCCCCUUUGAGCUUAAAAAUAUAAAUAUUCUUUAUUUUUUUAUUUACCUUCUUCUACCUAAGAACUCUUUACCAUUCCACGAUCAUAUCUGGUAAAGUUUCAUCCAUUCGUUGGCUCGUGUCCUUGCUCUUCUUUGUGAAGAAAUUUUGAGGAUACCUUCCAAUGGUGGAAAAUAUGAAGUCACCAAAGAGCAAGUGUUCAAAUAAGUUCACAUUCUUCUAAAUGCUCUUUGCACAAGCCUGGACAUGAUUUCUAGUACGAAAACAUUUUGAACAAUGUCCUGCUUCUCCUAAAUACUCUUUUGAACUUAAUAGUAAUUUAAUUGUUAAGAGUAUUUAUCCAAAUUCACCUCGCAAGCUCUCAAAUUUUUAAUCAAAUCCUUUAGAGCUUCGUCUCCCUAAAAUGAAGUUAAAUGGUUAAAAUGAUUGUAUUAGGUUUCAAUUUAGAUGAAGACAUAAAGUUUAGAGAAACCUAUGCACGAGGAGUUAAAUGGAAAGCUAUUCUAAUUAAAAAUUAAAUAUGUUAUAUUAAUAAAUUAAUAUUUAUAUUAUUUUAAAAUUUUUAGUCAUUUAAUUUCUAUUAAAUAAAAAUUAUGUUAUUAUUUUUCAUCAACAAUAAUUAUAUUAUAUAUUAUUUAAUGAUUUAAAAUAUUACUUUGAUAAUAUUUUUAUAAUUUUACAUUCCUUCUUAACUAGUAAAAUGACCAUCAUGCCCAUAAUUUAUUUAAAAUUCUAAAAAUUUGUCACUACUUAUAAACAAUAACUAUUUAUAAAUAAUAAAAAGUAAUCAUUGAUUACUAUACUUGUUUUGCUAAAAAGUUGAGGUAAUUUUUUUAAUAAUAAGUUCUUAUUUGUGUGCAAAUCAGACUAUUUUUUUUUAAAAUUUAUUUGAAACAGUGACUUAAUAUUUUACAUGAAUCGAAGGGGAAAAGAAUUCAAUCAAUUGAAUUGCAGAAUGUUGAAGUUUUAAAACUUGAAUUCUCUCAAUUAAAUUUCUGGAAAUUAAAAAUUAAAAAACAUGUUAAAUGAGCCUAAAAAGUUGAAUGGUUAUAAUAAAUGUCGUUUAGAAAAAUUAUAGAUAAAAAAUUUGAACUUGUAUAAAGAAGGGCUCGUAAACCAAUGCAUGCCGAGGGGAAGGGUGUGGGAUAGAACCGAAUAUACUACAUGUUAUGGAGCCGUCCAAAGUUGAUUAACUAGUGUAAUUAUAAGUACUAAAUUUAGUGAAAAAUUAUACAUCUAUUUGCCCAAGGAUUUUGCUUGUAAAAAAAAAUAAAGAAAAUAAAAAAUUAUUUUUUUGUUAUGCUUUUUAGAUUGAAAACUGUUAAGAAUAAAAAUGUAUUGCUGAUAAUAUGUAAAAUUAAUUUUUUUUCUCAUUACUUGCUUCUUUUUUGUUAUCACUUUUCAUGACAAUUAAGCAUGAAAAAGUGAAUUAUUUUGAUUUUUUGAAUAUUCUUUGUUUUCUAAAUGAGGUCUAGGAAAAGUUUUUCCUAUUUAAUAAAUUAGAAAAAUUACUUGUAAGGGAUAAUUUUUCCUCGUAAUAUUUGAAAUUCUUUAAUUUCAAUAUGUUGUAUCACUGCUUGGACUCAUUAGAGUAAUGUAUGACCUAUACAUUAGAAGUCAUACCAAAUCAUUCCUAAUUUGGAUUGACAAGUCUAAAUAAAAAUGUGGCACAUCCUAAUUGAUGAAUGCUAAAUGUAUUGUAAAGAAAAACAUCACUUACAACUAGGGGUGUACAAAAAUUACUUAAAAACCAAAAAGUGGCAGAAAGCUAGGCUAAAAUAAAAUUCAGUUUGAUUUUUCAGUUUUCGAUUUUGGUUACAAUUCUUGUAAAUUACAAAUUUUGACUUGAAUUUUAUCUUUUAACUCAAAAUCAAUCUGAAGAGCUAUAAAUCGAAUGUAUAUAUAUAUGUGUGUGUGUGUGUGUGAAUUUUGAUAUAUAACAUGUUAGUACCCUUGACUGUAUAUUUUAUCAACAUAUUUCUUUCAUCAAACAUAACAUUUUAUUUAAAAAUUUGUUUUUCAUAAUAUAAUUGUUCUCGAGGGGAACGAUGGGAUUUUGUAAAGGUGGGGAGGCUACCCCAGCUCGCUAGUUUUGGAUGUGAGAUUAGAAAUUAAGUUGUUCAGCUCUCAGGCUCUCAACUGAAUGCAUUGCUCUCCUCUUUUGUUCCACAUCGAAAAUGCAAGAAAUCUUUUUUGCUCUCAGUUGCAGAUAAAUAAGCAUGUGUCAAGGUGACAUGUGCCAAGGUCUUAAAGUCUUGUAAUGUUUACACAUGAUUUUGGUAUAUUUUAGCUUGGAGGGAAGGUUAAUCUAGAUGCGAUUGGGUGUAUGCCUUUCUUGGUCUUCAUUCCACAGAUGAUCAUAUAGGAAUGCGAUUAUGUGGUACUCUCAACCUAGAGGUUUGGGUGUAUGCCUUUCUUGGUCGUCAGUUAUACAGUUGAGCGGUAUAAUCCAAGACCACUGUUGUGAUAUGGGGAUGAAAGUUACUUUCAAUGUUGGUAAAUGUAAGCUAUUUCCUUUACGGUUCGAAUCUGGGUUCUGUAGUCUUGACCUUGGUUCAAGGGCUAUCGAGCCAUAAGACUUGACUAGUAGUUUAAACAUAUGAGUGUUUCUUUGGAUAAGGAUGAGUAUGGUUGGGCUGGACUUGGUGUAAUCUUGUUGACGCCUGGGCAUGGCUCCUUGGCACUUUGAGAGGAUCGUGGCAAAGGUGAUUCCUAUUGGCCAUUAUGUUCAUGAUACAUUAACCCCACUGGAGUCUUUGUUCCCUCUCUUCCCUUGGGCUUGCAAAUUAUUUUUUGUUACCUAGACGUUGUGUUUGAAAACAUAAAUUUUGGACAUUAGAUUUUGAUUUAGGUAAAUUUGAACAAAUUUUAAUGUAAUUUUAUAUUACAUUUUAUCUAAAUAUAAUAAAAAUCCAAAUCCAAGGUCUCUCUAUAUACAUGAAAAGUGUAAUUCAUUGCGCAAUCCUAACAGUACUAUUGCUUAUACUAUAUAUGUUGCGGAGUAAACAAAGUUAGCACUCAAUCUUCGUAAGUCUUUUUCUUAUGGAAGAGAGAAGCAUGGGAAUUGAGUUUGUUAAUGGUUAGAGAUGUGAACAUUCAGAAGUUAUAUUGAGAAAUUGCCUUUUAUUGUGUUUGUGUUUUUUAGAUGUGAGACAUAUAUAAGUAGAUUUUGCAUUUAUUUGUGGUGGUAUUUAUUUGUUACAUGUCAUUUCUAAAAGCAAGCACAUACACAACAUAUAACAUAAAGAUAGAUUUUCUUAAUAACUUCCCGUAUACAUACAUGAAAAAUAAGUACAAUACUGGCCACAACCCACAGCCUUUGAUGAUUACCUACUACUGCAUUAUAUAUAUAUAUACACAUGGUUUUGAAAUAAUUAUUGUAGUAAUUUUUAUAUGUAUGAUGGGUCUAUAGUUUACUUUUCUUGACAAAAAUUAAUUUUUUUUCCUUAGGGUCCGUCAAAUUACAGAAUAUUAGUGUGGAAAAGAAGCAUCACACAUGGUCUAUUCAGAUUUUAGACAAGCUGCUUGAUUGCGCUUUAAAAUGGGAGCACAGCGGACAUUAUUCCAUAUGGUUCGGGUGUCAAUUGAAGUCUUUGGAGGACGAGAUGGGCAUGGUCCCUAGUCAGCCCAAGACGGAAUCAGCAUUUUUGGAUGCAGCAAAGAAGGGAACAGUAGAAAUUGUGGAGAAAGUUUUUGAAAGAUGUCCCAUGGCAAUCCACGAUGUAAAUGCAGAGAAGAGGAAUGCAGUGCACCUGGCAGUGGAACACAGACAACCUCGCAUGUACCACACCUUGCUCAAGAUACCCACCUCCAUCAAAGACCAAAUAUUUAGUAAGGUGGAUUGUGAGGGUAACAGCGCUUUGCAUCUUGCGGCGAUGCUCCGCGAUUAUCGACCUUGGAACAUUCCCAAUGCUGCCUUACUGAUGCAAUGGGAAAUGGAAUGGUUCCAGUACAGUUUGUGGAAAACAGCAUGCCAGAAAAUUUCUUUGCUUCGUGCAACAUUCUGGCGCAGACCCCAAAGCAAAUAUUCAGACACACAAGGAGCUAGUAAAAGAAGCUAAUGAAUGGAUAAACAGCAACUGCCACGUAAACUCUGUCGUUGCAGCACUCGUUGCGACAGUUGCUUUUGCAACAAUACCAGGAGGGUUCAAGCAAGACACUGGCGCCGCAGUAGCUCAUGAGUACCGCCCUGCAUUCAUCAUCUCCGUUGUCUCACCCGUUAUUGCUCUGGGCUUUUCACAGAUCUCCCUGGUGUUCUUACUCACCAUGUUCACUCGCCCGCCACUGAGAAGUGGUUUUGAAGGGGUGGCACCAACACGACUACUUCUGGGUAUGGCUGCACUUUUGUUUUCCCGUCCUGCCAUUCUACUCACUUUCUGUGCUGGCCACUUCUUUGUGGUUAAGACACCAGCUCCAACAUGAUAUCUUCCCCAAUAUAUGCUCUAUUGCUAGCAUAUGCAGGGGUUUGUCUGCCAGUUAAAUGUGUUGCACUCCACUACUCCUACUACUACCUUAACAUUGCAGGAGUCUACUCUGCCAAGCGGGUGCCACGAUGUCAUUAUGGUUGUUCAGUCAUUUAAAUCAUUCGAAUUGGUUGUUUUUGGUUUCUCAAACUUCUUGAGCUUGUAAUUUCUGUUUGGUUUCAUGGUUUUAGUAUAUCCUUUUUCCUUCUUCAAAAAAUUAUUUAGACUAGGUUUGGAUUUGGGAGGAGACCAGCAUUUAUAACCUGAACCCAAUUUGUUUAGUAAAUGGAUUAGGUGAGUUUUGGUUGGAUAUCCA